UAUCGGAUUGUCUGGGCUGCUCAGCAGUCCCUGGAAAUAGCCCUCCAUCAGACCGUACCCUAAACCGACACAGGUGGACUGGUAGAGAAUACCAAGGCGCUUGAGAGAACGAUGUUGAAGGAACUCGGCAAAAUACCUCCGUAAGUUCGCGAGAAGGAGGCCCAGUUUCUACGCAAGUAUUGACUGGGGGCACAAACCAGGGGGUGGCGACUGUUUAUUAAAAACACAGGGCUCUGCGAAGUCGCAAGACGACGUAUAGGGUCUGACGCCUGCCCGGUGCCUGAAGGUUAAAAGGAGGGGUGAGAGCUCCGAAUUGAAGCCCAGGUAAACGGCGGCCGUAACUAUAACGGUCCUAAGGUAGCGAAAUUCCUUGUCGGGUAAGUUCCGACCUGCACGAAUGGCGUAACGACUUCCCCGCUGUCUCCAACAUCGACUCAGCGAAAUUGAAUUGCCUGUCAAGAUGCAGGCUUCCCGCGGUUAGACGGAAAGACCCCGUGCACCUUUACUACAGCUUCGCACUGGCAUCAGGAUUGUGAUGUGCAGGAUAGGUGGUAGGCAUCGAAGCCGGGACGCAAGUCCCGGUGGAGCCUCCCUUGAGAUACCACCCUUCGCACUCUUGAUGUCUAACCGCGGUCCGUUAUCCGGAUCCGGGACCCUGCGUGGCGGGUAGUUUGACUGGGGCGGUCGCCUCCUAAAGCGUAACGGAGGCGCGCGAAGGUUGGCUCAGAGCGGUCGGAAAUCGCUCGUUGAGUGCAAUGGCAGAAGCCAGCCUGACUGCGAGACUGACAAGUCGAGCAGAGACGAAAGUCGGCCAUAGUGAUCCGGUGGUCCCAAGUGGGAGGGCCAUCGCUCAACGGAUAAAAGGUACGCCGGGGAUAACAGGCUGAUACUGCCCAAGAGUCCAUAUCGACGGCAGUGUUUGGCACCUCGAUGUCGGCUCAUCUCAUCCUGGGGCUGGAGCAGGUCCCAAGGGUACGGCUGUUCGCCGUUUAAAGAGGUACGUGAGCUGGGUUUAGAACGUCGUGAGACAGUUCGGUCCCUAUCUGCCGUGGGUGUAGGAUACUUGAGAGGAGUUGCCCCUAGUACGAGAGGACCGGGGUGAACGAUCCACUGGUGGACCUGUUGUUGCGCCAGCAGCAGUGCAGGGUAGCUAUGAUCGGAAAGGAUAACCGCUGAAGGCAUCUAAGCGGGAAGCCCCCCUCAAAACAAGGUAUCCCUGAGGGCCGUGGAAGACCACCACGUCAAUAGGCCGGAGAUGUAAGCAUGGUAACAUGUUCAGUUGACCGGUACUAAUCGCCCGAUAGGCUUGAU
This 1311-nucleotide ribosomal RNA is filed under the name Phaeobacter italicus. RNAcentral's name for it is "bacterial LSU rRNA". It matches the Rfam family "Bacterial large subunit ribosomal RNA", at positions 1589 to 2925 of the family's 2925-position model. Lineage: Bacteria; Pseudomonadati; Pseudomonadota; Alphaproteobacteria; Rhodobacterales; Roseobacteraceae. The record is from RNAcentral.